Long non-coding RNA from Syngnathoides biaculeatus (alligator pipefish), 223 nucleotides. RefSeq lists it as uncharacterized. NCBI's taxonomy places the organism in Eukaryota, Metazoa, Chordata, Actinopteri, Syngnathiformes, Syngnathidae. The transcript has 3 exons. The record is from RefSeq and is a predicted model, not a curated record.
CAGGUGUGAAGCGGAACAAAGUCUGAUUGACCUUUGACAUCAAAAGGUUCCAAUCGCCAUCGCCAAUGUUUAUCGCUGUCAAAGCGCGCCCUCCGCUGGACGAAAUGUGUCGGUUCAGCCCAAGCUCCCCGGCAGCUGUCAACGGCUCGUGUUCCUCACCUCUGGACACCGGCAUGUAGCGCGCCGACGACACGGAGGGUCUGAGCAGGCGCAACGUGUUGGA